This 494-nucleotide ribosomal RNA is filed under the name uncultured bacterium. Its description in RNAcentral is "partial 16S ribosomal RNA". It matches the Rfam family "Bacterial small subunit ribosomal RNA", at positions 28 to 507 of the family's 1533-position model. The record is from RNAcentral.
GACGAACGCUGGCGGCGCGCUUAACACAUGCAAGUCGAACGGAAAGGCCUGCUUUCCCUUGUGGAUUGCGGGUACUCGAGUGGCGAACGGGUGAGUAACACGUGAGUGAUCUGCCCCCAACUUGGGUAUAAGCCUGGGAAACUGGGUCUAAUUCCCGAUAGGACUGCAGGGUGGUGCCUGUGGUGGAAAACGAUUUUCUAGUGGUUGGGGAUGAGCUCGCGGCCUAUCAGCUUGUUGGUGGGGUAAUGGCCUACCAAGGCGGCGACGGGUAGCCGGCCUGGGAGGGUGGGCGGCCACAUUGGGACUGAGAUACGGCCCAGACUCCUACGGGAGGCAGCAGUGGGGAAUAUUGCACGAUGGGCGGAAGCCUGAUGCAGCGACGCCGCGUGGGGGAUGACGGCCUUCGGGUGGUAAACUCCUUUCGACCGCGAGGAAGCCACCUGGUUGGAAGGGUGGUGACGGUAGUGGUAGAAGAAGCACCGGCUAACUACGUG